Molecule: ribosomal RNA, 478 nt
Filed under: uncultured bacterium
Lineage: Bacteria
Description: partial 16S ribosomal RNA
Rfam family: Bacterial small subunit ribosomal RNA
Source: RNAcentral
GACGAACGCUGGCGGCGUGCUUAACACAUGCAAAUCGAACGGUAAGGCCCUUCGGGGUACACGAGUGGCGAACGGGUGAGUAACACGUGGGUGAUCUGCCCUGCACUUCGGGAUAAGCCUGGGAAACUGGGUCUAAUACCGGAUAGGACCACUGCCUGCAUGGGUGGUGGUGGAAAGCUUUUGCGGUGUGGGAUGGGCCCGCGGCCUAUCAGCUUGUUGGUGGGGUGAUGGCCUACCAAGGCGACGACGGGUAGCCGGCCUGAGAGGGUGAACGGCCACACUGGGACGGAGAUACGGCCCAGACGCCUACGGGAGGCAGCAGUGGGGAAUAUUGCACAAUGGGCGCAAGCCUGAUGCAGCGACGCCGCGUGAGGGAUGACGGCCUUCGGGUUGUAAACCUCGUUCAGCACCGACGAAGCGCAAGUGACGGUAGGUGCAGAAGAAGGACCGGCCAACUACGUGCCAGCCGCCGCGGUAA